GAUGAACGCUGGCGGCGUGCCUAAUACAUGCAAGUCGAGCGAACGGACGAGAAGCUUGCUCCUCUGAUGUUAGCGGCGGACGGGUGAGUAACACGUGGAUAACCUACCUAUAAGACUGGGAUAACUUCGGGAAACCGUAGCUAAUACCGGAUAAUAUAUUGAACCGCAUGGUUCAAUAGUGAAAGACGGUCUUGCUGUCACUUAUAGAUGGAUCCGCGCUGCAUUAGCUAGUUGGUAAGGUAACGGCUUACCAAGGCAACGAUGCAUAGCCGACCUGAGAGGGUGAUCGGCCACACUGGAACUGAGACACGGUCCAGACUCCUACGGGAGGCAGCAGUAGGGAAUCUUCCGCAAUGGGCGAAAGCCUGACGGAGCAACGCCGCGUGAGUGAUGAAGGUCUUCGGAUCGUAAAACUCUGUUAUUAGGGAAGAACAUAUGUGUAAGUAACUGUGCACAUCUUGACGGUACCUAAUCAGAAAGCCACGGCUAACUACGUG
Molecule: ribosomal RNA, 497 nt
Filed under: uncultured bacterium
Lineage: Bacteria
Description: partial 16S ribosomal RNA
Rfam family: Bacterial small subunit ribosomal RNA
Source: RNAcentral